Molecule: ribosomal RNA, 211 nt
Filed under: Geodermatophilus africanus
Lineage: Bacteria; Bacillati; Actinomycetota; Actinomycetes; Geodermatophilales; Geodermatophilaceae
Description: 16S rRNA. Bacterial SSU
Rfam family: Bacterial small subunit ribosomal RNA
Source: RNAcentral
GGAGUCGCUAGUAAUCGCAGAUCAGCAACGCUGCGGUGAAUACGUUCCCGGGCCUUGUACACACCGCCCGUCACGUCACGAAAGUCGGUAACGCCCGAAGCCGGUGGCCCAACCCCUCGGGGAGGGAGCCGUCGAAGGCGGGAUCGGCGAUUGGGACGAAGUCGUAACAAGGUAGCCGUACCGGAAGGUGCGGCUGGAUCACCUCCUUUCU